This is a long non-coding RNA of Perca fluviatilis (European perch), 2055 nucleotides long. RefSeq lists it as uncharacterized. The transcript is spliced from 3 exons. The record is from RefSeq and is a predicted model, not a curated record. NCBI's taxonomy places the organism in Eukaryota, Metazoa, Chordata, Actinopteri, Perciformes, Percidae.
AAAUGUUAUCUUUCUGCACCAGCUAGUCCCACACGAAGUUACCAAAUUGUUACAUUUCAAGCACUUUCACCUGUUUUGAUUAAGUUCUAAAAAAUAAGCACCAAUAAUGAUUCAAAAUCUUGUUUCUAUUUUUUACCUUUUUAGGGCCCAAGCGCCAACAGCAGCAAAGGCCCUAUUGAAACUGAAGGAAUUAUUAGGGCCCGAGUGCCGACAGCGGCAAAGGCCCUAUUGAAACUGAAGGAAUUAUUGGGCCUGUCCCAAUACCUCCCCUUCCCCUAGAUUUUUGCCCUAACCCUCGUUUUUGCGUGUUCUCGUUUAGGGGUAGUGUGUCCCAAUACUUUAGGGAGCAAGGGGGAGUGCUAUUUUCCCCUUAAAAUCAACCCUCACCACAUAGUGAGGUCCGAUACAGGCUUAAAAUGAAGUGGGACAUGAAAUUACCCAGGAUACCUUCCAAACUCAGCGAGCCGGCCAACAUAUUUCAACAAAGAUGGCGGACACCGCUGGCAAGGAACAAUUUAAUUGUAAGUAUAUAUUCGCAAAUAAGCAUGUUAAAAUUUCGAAAUAUGUUGGAAUGUGUUAGUUUGAUACACAUCCAAAGGACUGUUGAGUUUUGAACACUAAUGUUAGAAAAUAUCUCACGAAGCUAGCUAAAGGGGAAGCUAACGGGCAAGCUAAAGGGGAAGCUAACGGGAAAGCUAACGGUAAAGUUUACGGGAAAGUUAACGUCUAUUCUAAUGACCGCUGCUCUGUUACAAACCGGAUCAUGCAUGCAACAGUAGGCUAUCCCGGUUUCAUUUAGAGUAACUGGGAUAGUGAUGUACAUGUAAACGGACUAAUCGGAUCGUAUUGACCAUUCAAAAAUCUGUCUUGUUCUCUUUUAUUAAUUUGCAAUUCACUAAAAGCUGCAACUGGUGUCUUAUGUUUAAGGGACUGUGGAGCACACCUUUGGCCUCAUCAGAUUCAGGGCAGAAAAUGAGAAGAGGUUUACAAAAAAAAAUUUACUUCCAAACUGCUGUUGGAGUGAGUGACCAGAUUGUACAAUUCAAUAACUGAUAACAAUAUCAAUGUCUGCUAAUGCUCUACCUCCCAGCUACAAUGCAUUUCGACACAGCUAUUCACAGCACGAGUGGCAGCAAAAAUUGUCCUGUCCUGUUAGUAGUGUCCUGGGACAGUCAGAUACUGUCCUGUAACUCCAUGUGUCUGACUGUCCCGGGACACUCCUCAGGACACUACUAACAGGACAGGACAGUUUUUGCUGCCACUGCUUCUUGCUAUUCAUCAUAUUUGUGUGUUUAUAGGAAAGCAGUGAAAGACCUGGGCCUGGAAGGAAAGAUUACAGGAGAGAAGGCAAGCAAGAAGUCGGUACAAGGACCUGAAACAACUGAAGACGGGCUCAGGUACAGACAGCGGUAAACAAACUGUAUCCAACUGGCAAUACUAUGAGGCGAUGCAUGCAGUUUUGGGGGAAGGCCAGCGAUAGAUCCUCCGGUGAUUGUGGCCUCUUUCAAGCUGUCAGAGGACCCCACAACAUUGUUAAUGAAGAAACAUGGAACCCCCUCAGUAAGACAUCUCUGCCUCUGCCUCUCAGCCUGGAUCUACUCUUCCUCCCACCACCCCAGUUCAUCCCACUACUCAUCGCCCGACCACUCCAGCUACUCCAGCCACCACAACCCCAUCUCCCAGAAAGAGAGGCAGUAAUCAAUCAGAAUCAGUUAAGGAGCAGAAAAGGCACGAGGAAACAGAGGCCAAAACGGACAGGUUUUUAACCCAAUUUGAAAAACUUGUGGACAAAAUGCCAAAAAAUUAGUUUUGUUGUGGUUAAAAAGUUCAGAUGUUAAAAUAUUCAAUAUUGAAUGUGCAAUAUUUUUAUUUAUAAAAUCCUCAGGUAAGUGUUGAGCAAUGUUUUUAUAUAAAUUGUUCGUUCUUUUAAAUUGAAGUGUCUUUGAACAGUGCAGUUUUUCAAUAAACCUCUUCAUGGGUUAAAGAAAAUGUGUUAGGUUUUUGACCAAUCACCAUCCCAAUACACAAAUUGCAUAUCUAGAUCAUUAUAAAAGA